Long non-coding RNA from Portunus trituberculatus (swimming crab), 1410 nucleotides. RefSeq lists it as uncharacterized. NCBI's taxonomy places the organism in Eukaryota, Metazoa, Arthropoda, Malacostraca, Decapoda, Portunidae. The transcript is spliced from 2 exons. The record is from RefSeq and is a predicted model, not a curated record.
GAGAGAGAGAGAGAGAGAGAGAGAGAGAGAGAGGGACACACACACACACACACACACACACACACACACACACACACACACACACACACACACACACACACACACACGGAUAUAUAUUUCUUAAAGAUGUACGAACAUGUGUAGCUAUUAGCUGCUUACUUUUCCACAAACAAUCACUGUCCGUCCCCAACCACUGUUACUUUAUAGCAAGGGGCGGCAGCGACAUGGCACCCUUCACCAUUUCCGCCACCUCCGGUAUACUCUCCCACCUCCACUGGUACGAGCCUGCGAGGCUCUUCAGUCCUCAAACGCAUUCAACGAGACCACACACCGACACCACCACAUAACAGCCUGCUGAUCGCCGGCUGGUCACCAAGUGCAUCCGGUCUGCCACUCCCCCAUCCCAUCUUCAAGCUCCGCCUACAGCCACCACACUACACCACCAUCAGCUUCAGCUACCUCCCGUCGCCAGCCAGUCAGCCACUCCGCCUGUGACACCUCACGGACAGGAAUGAGGCAACACAGCCCUCUUCCUCCCCCGCGACGUACCUACGCGACCAGAGAAUUUGCAAUCAAUCUAUCGGGAAUAACUAACUGUCCCCGCACCCCGCACCUUGUAGUCCACUACCACCACCGCCUUGUUCGGCCUUUCCUGUAUUAUUCAAGGUGCUAGUCCACUUUUUGUCUGCCUCAGAGUGGCAACUGAGCAGCACCCACUUGCCCUUCCUUAAUUCGCUUAUGAAAAAUAUAAAACAAUUAAAUGGAUUUCCUAACUAGAUAAACAUCCAAAACAAUGAAAAAAAAAAAAAAAAAACGGUGCUCAAUCCACGACCACACGCCACUGCAGAGGCGGCAACACAUCACAAGAUUUGUCAGGUGUGCUGCGGCUGCCGCCCACGUAGCAACGCAUGACAGGGCCACGGCAGGCCAGCCCGCCUCACAUCAUGCAGCUACAAGACGGUGUACGCCCGCCACGUAACAACUUCCUUCGUGUACAUAUUUUACCCACGUAAAUGAAAAUAAUAUGUGAGCGCGGGAAGUGUUAACAUGUUAUCAGAGUAUCUGAACGAAGCCCCACCAGUGUGCUAGGCCGCUACCAGUCAGACCUGCCACACCAGGUUUCCGCACCACGGCCCUCGACAGUGGACAGUCACGCGCAGCCCUCCUACAUUCGGCACGUAAUUAGCAUCAUACCAACCCAUAACUCUCAUUAAGUGAGAAAAAAAAUGUUAAGAAAGGCAACAGUUGGUGCGCAACACCUGCGUAGUGCACCUGCAGACAUUGAUUAUCUUCCGCCCCCUAACAACAUACUGCCCUUAUUGGCACCAUUGCUUCACCUGACAUCUAGUGUUCAACACUAAUGGCGUAAUUACGUCGCUCUGGUUAUCUAAUAAAGUAUCAGCACCACGA